GGGGUUCAAAUGUGGCGCUGUGGAAAUUGUGAUGCGCUUCGCACAAGGUGUUUCGGACAUCUCGGAAACGCUGGACGGACACCACUCUGUCCAGGGUGUAUCCUGCCUUGAUGCCCGAUGACGCCUGAGAUAGGCACAGGCUCCCGUGACCUGAGGUAGUUCGGAUAAGCGUUAGAAAAUGAGAGAGAAUGAGAGAGGUGAGUGAACGGACACCGAACGGACACCGAACCAGUGGCGCACAAACAAAAAGCGAAACGAUCCUGGAAGUGAUCCACGAUCAUACGAAUAACUUGAUCUAGGGUUACAGGGAACCUGAAGCUUUUCCCAGGGGACUCCCUGGACAGGGUGCCAAGCCAUCACAGGGCAGGCUCGCACACACACUCACUUGCACACUAUGGGUAAUAUAGAGAUGCCAAUCAGCCUACAACACAUGUCAUUGGACUGAGGGAGGAAAGCAGAUUACCCUGAGGAAUCCCCCAAAGCACAGGGAGAACAUGCAAACUCUGCACACAGAGCAGAGUCAAGAACCAAAUCCCCAACUCCAGAGGGCCUUUGGACUCAUCGGCCCUUCUGCCAGAGACGUCUUCAGUUUCUGUGCUGUUGUUGAAAACCAGUUAAUCAAGAGUGGCGAGAGCUUCCAGGAAACCUUGGGGCCCUGAGGCUCUUCUACUGCUGACGAAUUGUGCUACAGGAAGUGGAACUCGCAGGAGAGAUGACACAGCUAAAAUUAACCAGCCUGUCACCUUCUGCUGAAUGACAGAGUAUAGAAAUAGUAAAAAAGAAAAGAAGGACCUGGGUUAACAUGCCUUAUCAGCUAGUAUGAGCUGCACAUAUUACGCACGUAAUGAGUGUUUUAUUGACAAGGCACUCAAUAGAGGAAAUAAUGGUCAGUGUGUGAACUCAUUAUUAUAAAUGUUUGUUAUUUCAGAUGGAGGGUAAAUUUCCUGUUUCUAAAUAGCUUUGAUGGAAGAAAGCCCAUUGAAGUUGGCUCUCCAUUGUUUGAAAUAAACAGUUGUGUGUCUUUAUGGUCAGUGAUGGAAGUAAAUGAGACUGGUUUUAAUCUUCCAUUUUUUUUUUAUUUCCUACAGCACUGGCCAGUUGUUCAUUAACUCUCAUGAAUUAAUCCAUAAACCUGUGCCAACAACUCCUUUAUUGCUAAAUUUUAUUCUGCUCUGGUGCAGUGAAACAGCCUCUCAUAAGCAUAUCAGAAACGUCUCCCGAUCAACACUGCAUCUGUUGCAGUAUGCCAAGUUCACUAUGGCAAUUAAUCCCAUAUCCUGCUACUGCGUUAAGCAUGUCUGAGCACGUUUUCCACAUAAGCCUUGCCAUUCUUUCAACUAGACUGGAAUUUAUGCCAUGCUACGUACCUUUUGAGAUUCAGUAUUAUGAAAUGUUUGGUCAUAAAGUAAGUUGAUUUCAAUUCUCACUUCCUUAUGUCUUACGUCUGUAAUAUUCUAACCCCAUCUCCACCCACUUGUCAGGGCUCUGGUUACUUUAACCUUGUUGUUUAUCUCAUCUUCUGAUAAUAUUAUGUUACGCCAGCACUUUAUGUCCGAAACUUCUGGGUGGUUUAUGUAAACAGUAUUAUACCCAUGCUGAUCUUGUGAUAAUCCAGUUAAAUGCUUUGUAGAACGUGCACUCAUUAUCCACUUUACUGGGAAGUUUAAUAACUUUUAUUAUUCUCUAGCAAGGGUGGCAGGAAGAGGUAAAAGUGUGUGAACAAACACAGAGACAGCAGAAAAACACAGAAAUGAACAUUGAUACUGCUAACAAGCUGAUACUGUAGAGUAGAAGAGCAAGACUUAUCCCCAGGGGCUGGACAUACAGUAUACACUCACAAGACACGUACACCUGCUCAUUUCCAUUUCCAGGAAAAAUAAUUAUAGUUUCUGAGUUUUGAAGAGGGCUUCUCGAGUUCACAGGGCAGUCAGGCUUCUCUAUCAUUAAAUAAUAUCAUUUUAGCAAGUACGGUAACAUUUAAAAUGAAUUAAAAUCCUAUGGUUUCAAUGCAUGAGAUGCCUCCUGCUGACUGCAGCUCAACGUGUCUGGCAUGUCCAGCUUUAAGCCACAUGGCAUCUCAUCAUCUACUGUAGUAUAUCAUCCUCAAUAAUGAACGCACAAGGGAAAAUCUGUUCCCUAGUUCCAAAUGAUUUUUGCUGUUCCAUACUUAUUAAGUUUAGUUUAUCAGAUUUAUAAUUCAGGGGGAAAAAAUAUUUCAUUUUGAGCCCUAAAAACGUCUAACUCUUAAAGUGAGCUCCUGAGGAACUAGGAACAAAUGUGGUGUAACAGACUAGUUUACAGUAACUUUGUUUAAUAAAAUGUUCUUCUAGGCACCGCGUAAAUAAAUCACAACAAAGGGGCAGCAUUACAGCAGAGAAGGCAGAGUUUUGAAGUUGUCUGAUCUGAUAAACACAGCCCUAGCACCACACUUCUGGCAGUGUUGCUAUAUCCUUGGCCCAAGUUAUUUCUCAAUUCACUGAUGUGACAUUGUGGUAAUGAGCCCUCAGUGUGCUGCAUGCAGUGCCAUACUUAAACUGAGCACUAAGAGGCUUAUUGGUGUGCGAUCAGCCUGCUCCUGUUAGCAGUGUCUCUUUCCUGAGCAUAAUGUCACAGAGAGUAGCAUGCUGGGAGAAGUAGUCAUGCCAAAAGUGAUGGCAUCAGAAUUAGGAAAGGUUUGUUUUUAUUAUGCCUACAUUUAAACUGCAUUUCUUCUUUAGAUUUCAUUCAAUGGUUUACCAAGGCUUAAUCUUCCACUAAACAAACCGUUUGCUGUUUUUAACUGUUUAACAAAUGAACAUACUCAGCAUCUGAGCAUACUCAGCAACAAAAACCGUGAAAUAACUCUCUGUACUUCCUACUAGCUGACAGCUUAUAUGAUUAAUCACACCAACUAUACGCUUUGUCCAUAAGUCAGCCAUUACUUCAGGAAAACAACACUAACAUGGCUAUAAUGUAAACAUCAUUAUAUUUACUUAGUAAAAUGACUAAUAUUCUAACACGUUCUUUGCUAUGCAAAACCUGUGCCUGUUCAUGGGCUCAUUACAAGAAGAGGAAGUGUGUGUAAAGUUCACAGGAUGUUCCAUGGUAGCAGAGCUUCCCUGUAUUCACUCUCCGUGACCUCUCUUUUUCUCUGCCUGUGGCAAAAAUGUCAAAACUGAUACCUCUCAUGUCUCAUCUCAUUUCAUUUAAUACACAUCUAUUUCCUGUUCUUUUUUUUUUUUUUUUGGCACAUACACAAAGCAAGACAUUUUCCUCAACAGGAGGUUCAUUACUUGGUACUGACGUGUGCAGUUGUGCACUAACUUAUUUCUAUGUUUGCAUUUGCUAAAGUGAACAUUUGUUAUCAACUUUUAUUCAUACCCUAAUAGCAGGGAUAGGCACCUUCCCUGUCUCCUCUGAGGGUUAGUUAUUAAUGACAAAUGGCAGGUCUGUUAUUAACAGACUGUGUCUGUCCUUCAAGGAUGUGACCCAAGAGAGGGAACAAAAUAAACAGAGCAGCCUGUUACGUAAUGGCUGUUCCGCUAAGCUAUGUGCCUUUAAAAGCUGUGGGAUGUCAGGUGAUCAGGCAAGCGCAGUCAUCUCAGUUCACUGAGACGUGAGUGUGUAAUCACACAAAAAGAUGAGACACUGGAGUGCAGGAGGAAGAGCGGGAAGAAGAGAGAAAGAGGCAGCUAGAUGGGCAGAGACCCAAUUAAAGGAGGGCAGAGGCAAAGAAGGACAAGAAAGCAGAAGGAAGAAAGAGUGCAAGUAGCGAGAGGAAGAUGGCCAUGUCCGUUUAAUUGUACAAGCGACUGCUCUCUCUUUUUAUCUCCCUCAUUUCUGACACUGUAGCACGAAUGCCGUUGUGAUGAUGCUGGGUUGAGUUUCCCAUGAAGAACGGCUUGCGUAGCCAUAACAGAGAGACGGGAGAAAAGCCUGGAGAAUUAAAUGCUGCGUCACACUGUGCGCUAAAAAGAGGGAAAGCGUAUGAGAGAAAGAGACGUAGAGCAGGAGAGAGAGGCAUCGUGGAAGCAUGGGUGUUUACAGCAGAUAUCCAAUUGUUUGCUUGCAAAGUCUUUUGACAUCUAUUUGUAUGGAUGUGUAUAAAAAAAAAACACAGCAAGUUAUUCUGCUGUUACAAGCCAAUGAAAUCAGAGUGAGCAGGAGAGGGAGGAGUGAUUGUGGAAGGAGGGAGGGUGAUCAGGAGAGCAAGAGAGAGAGAGAGAGAGAGAGAGAGAGACCGAGACAGGGAGGGCAAGAUUUUUGGAUUAGUUGCUACGUCACUUUUUCACAUCGAAAGGAAAGCAGCAGCUAGGAAGACAGGAGUCCGAGUCGCAUGCUUCCAAGAGCGGCCGUGAGUGAGCCUCAGCCCUCUGUCUACUCGUUCGCCUCUCAUCCUUCUCUUUUUCCUCUCCAUCCUCAUUCUCAACCACCCUUUUCUCUCUCUGCCUCUGACGCCCGAGUCCGCACUUUCGGAAUCGCAGCUCUGGGUUCCAACACCGAUGCCGAGGAAGCCGACAUACUUUUUCUUAUAUCUAUACAUAUUUAUAUAAAUAUAUAUAUUUAUAAAUAUAUAUCUAUUUACGUCUGUAUGUGAUGGCGUCGAACGCGUUUCAGCAAGCAGGCGGGCACGUGAAGGGUUAAAGACAGAGCUCUUGUUCUAGAAGGUUCCUACUGUAUAUUCGAGGAGAAAGGUGAUGGAUAUCCUUCACAGUGUACUAAAUAGUAUCGCAACACCCACAACAUUAUUUGGACCAAUGAGGAAACAAGUGCUUACACCAUGAGUACUGUGUGUAAUUCUGUUGUAGGUGUGUGGGCUAUUAGAGAAACGUAUAUA
Molecule: long non-coding RNA, 4816 nt
Organism: Tachysurus fulvidraco (yellow catfish)
Lineage: Eukaryota; Metazoa; Chordata; Actinopteri; Siluriformes; Bagridae
Exons: 5
Source: RefSeq, a predicted model, not a curated record